Molecule: ribosomal RNA, 245 nt
Filed under: uncultured bacterium
Lineage: Bacteria
Description: partial 16S ribosomal RNA
Rfam family: Bacterial small subunit ribosomal RNA
Source: RNAcentral
GACGAACCGAGCGAACGUUGUUCGGAAUCACUGGGCUUAAAGGGCGCGUAGGCGGGCUGUCAAGUCUGGGGUGAAAUCUCGCGGCUCAACCGCGGAACUGCCUCAGAUACUGACGGCCUCGAGGGGGGUAGGGGCGAGCGGAACGGGUGGUGGAGCGGUGAAAUGCGUAGAUAUCUGGAGGAACACCGGUGGCGAAGGCGGCAUCCUGGACCGGCAUUGACGCUGAGGCGGCGAAAGCCAGGGGA